Molecule: ribosomal RNA, 221 nt
Filed under: uncultured bacterium
Lineage: Bacteria
Description: partial 16S ribosomal RNA
Rfam family: Bacterial small subunit ribosomal RNA
Source: RNAcentral
CCCUUCAGAGGGGGACAACAGUUGGAAACGACUGCUAAUACCGCAUACGAUCCAAUCUCGGCAUCGGGACUGGAUGAAAGGUGGCCUCUAUUUAUAAGCUAUCACUGAAGGAGGGGAUUGCGUCUGAUUAGCUAGUUGGAGGGGUAACGGCCCACCAAGGCGAUGAUCAGUAGCCGGUCUGAGAGGAUGAACGGCCACAUUGGGACUGAGACACGGCCCAG